Molecule: ribosomal RNA, 246 nt
Filed under: uncultured bacterium
Lineage: Bacteria
Description: partial 16S ribosomal RNA
Rfam family: Bacterial small subunit ribosomal RNA
Source: RNAcentral
UGGGUAACCUGCCUCAAAGAGGGGAAUAGCCUCCCGAAAGGGAGAUUAAUACCGCAUAAUAUGUUUAAGUCGCAUGACUUUAACAUCAAAGGAUUUUUCUUUUAAGAAAUUCCACUUUGAGAUGGACCCGCGGCGCAUUAGCUAGUUGGUGAGGUAACGGCUCACCAAGGCAACGAUGCGUAGCCGACCUGAGAGGGUGAUCGGCCACAUUGGAACUGAGACACGGUCCAGACCUCCGUAGGGACG